This 466-nucleotide ribosomal RNA is filed under the name uncultured bacterium. RNAcentral describes it as "partial 16S ribosomal RNA". It matches the Rfam family "Bacterial small subunit ribosomal RNA", at positions 28 to 507 of the family's 1533-position model. The record is from RNAcentral.
GAUGAACGCUGGCGGCGUGCUUAACACAUGCAAGUCGAACGAUGAAGCCCAGCUUGCUGGGUGGAUUAGUGGCGAACGGGUGAGUAACACGUGAGUAACCUGCCCUUAACUCUGGGAUAAGCCUGGGAAACUGGGUCUAAUACCGGAUAGGAGCGUCCACCGCAUGGUGGGUGUUGGAAAGAUUUAUCGGUUUUGGAUGGACUCGCGGCCUAUCAGCUUGUUGGUGAGGGAAUGGCUCACCAAGGCGACGACGGGUAGCCGGCCUGAGAGGGUGACCGGCCACACUGGGCCUGAGGCACGGCCCAGACUCCUACGGGAGGCAGCAGUGGGGAAUAUUGCACAAUGGGCGCAAGCCUGAUGCAGCGACGCCGCGUGAGGGAUGACGGCCUUCGGGUUGUAAACCUCUUUCAGUAGGGAAGAAGCGAAAGUGACGGUACCUGCAGAAGAAGCACCGGCUAACUACGUG